UCCUAUUAGGUUUGUGUAAAAGUAAUUGUGGUUUUUGCCCUUAAAAACAAUGGCAAAAACACAAUUAUUUUUGUACCAACCUACUACCUCCUCAUUCCCUUCU
RNAcentral lists this microRNA precursor (103 nucleotides) under Chlorocebus sabaeus (green monkey). RNAcentral's name for it is "miRNA (ENSCSAG00000024590.1)". Lineage: Eukaryota; Metazoa; Chordata; Mammalia; Primates; Cercopithecidae. The record is from RNAcentral.